UGUCAAGCUUUAAGGUCUGAUCUUGCAGUUAAAUUCCAGCAUGGUAAGAAUUAAAGCUGUUACCAGCAUCUCCAGUGUGCAGGACUUUCUUAUGAGUGAGACUCGGGCUUUUUUCCUAAGCAUUAAAAAUCAAAAUGGAAACUGUAAAGUUCAUGGUAAAAGCAACUGCUGAAAAAAAGCAACUGAUGAAGAAUUUCCUGUGAUUGUUAAGCUCCAAGGAAGCUCACCUGCCUGUUCCUAUUUCUUUAUUCCAAAGGGUAUAGCUCUAGUUUAUGCACAAUGGUUUCAGUACAUGACUUUUCUCUUUGGCUUGGCAGUUGAUCAAAGAGAAUUAGAGAAAAUACUAGUUGUCAUUUCACCGUUGUUUUGUCAGAAAAGGGUUCAAGUAGACUUUCUGUGACUGCUUUGAUGAACAGAACAUCUUUCUGGAAAAGCCAUCUGAGGCAAAUUUCUGUAUAGCAUUAAACUGGGACAUCAUGGAUUAUCUUUAAUAUUAGAAAAAUCUUUUAAUUCCUUGAUAGCAUGUCUUGUAUUCCAUUAUUGUUAUGUGUAAGUUGCUGUGAGGAUUCAUCAAAUCAUAAGGGAGAUUUUAGAUGUGAAAUAGUAAUAAUUUUCAGUAUUUUUUACCAGAAUAGUAGCAGCUUUUAGUAUACUCCAGAAUAAUUUUAGCAGGUUUUCACAUUCAGAUUAUUCCUAGGAACCUUUCUCUGCAGUGAACAAGCACCCGCUAAAAAUGUUCUACCUGUGCUUCAGCCUCCGGAAAGUAAAUUCAGCUGUGCAUAUGAAAAGUAUGCUGAGGAAAACUACUUUAAAAUGAAUGGUUGAGAUCUUAUUAGCAUCUAGAAAGUAGCUAAUGAUUAGGGCACAUUCAGGAGCUUUUUCAGUGUUUUAGAUGUUGGGAAAACAUCAGCCUGGAGCCAUUUGAGGCAAUAGUAAAAUAUACUAAUUCCUUCAAAGUAUGAAUUUAAACUUAAUAACCCCCCCCCCCCCAGAUGCUGACAUUCCAACUAGCAGUCGUUGCAGGAAAAAAACUCAGAUGCAGAUAUUCCCUAUAUUUGGAUAAUUAGAUACUGUCUCAAUUCUUCAAUGAUAAGUACACGAUUUUUUAAAAAAAUUUUGUGCUGUACCUAGGUAAGUCUUUUGACUGUAAUUCAGUAGGUUGCCUUUGGUGAUUUCAUUCAAUGUAAGUCUUUGAUAUCAAGUACCGCUGCUUUAGAGAAACAGAUCUUAGUACUGGGGACUUCACCUGCAGAUUGUUGAGUCUGCUUUGCCUCACACUAGCUCAAAACCCAUGGAGUGACCUCAGUAAUUGUUGGAGUGCAUUAGGUGCACUUGUGGAGUGCAUCUCAUUUAGUUUUGUCCAAAGUGAAUUCCGUAUUCAUACUUCGUUCUUCUCUGCAGUGUGAACCAAAGUGUGGUGACUGGGGACUCUCAGGAGACAGCUUAAAAGCCACAUUCAUGAACCAAGCUCAAAAACUUAAUAUAGACAUUCUGUUGUUUUUUGCCUUCACAGGGUUAUGUGUGCCUCUUAAAAUUCUUGUGCAUGCCAGAGGGGUCUUCCAGUAGGUAGUACUAAGGAGACCUUCCUAGAAAUGGAAGGUGACCAGGAAGAUACUGGCUCUUGAACUGCUUUUGUGCAUUUUGUAAAGGUGAUGUGGGUGAGGGCAUAUAACCUUUGAAUAUUUGGAUACUCUAGAGAAAGUGAGAUGUCUUUCAUUAGCUAGCCUUGAAAUGCCUCUUAAGAUAGCCCAAAGUAAAGUCUGGUAGUAUGUAGAAGUAUUUCAGAUGUCCAAAACUAGCCAUAGAAUUACAAAUUUUUAUAAAACCUGUAGCUGAGGAAAUGACAGAAAAAACAUGUUUAAAUUAAUCCUUAGUUUGAACAGGCAUAUCUGUACCUAUCUGACUUGUCCGGUAGGAAAAUACAUGCAGCACCUUUUCAGGGAUUUUACCUUCCUGCAUUCACUACAUCUCAAGGUGAGGUACUGAGAGAAUUUUCUUCUGGUGUACCAUGCAGUCUGCUAUAAGUGGCCGCUGCUUUAGAACCAACAGGUUUAAUCUUGGGCAUGAUUCUAUCAUCACUCUCCUUGUUCACUGCCAUGCUGUGCUGUGCUGGCAUAACCGGUUGUGUGGCUGUGCAGGCAGGGAAGAGAAACAGAUGAAAAUUAACCUGCCAAAAAAGAAGGAUCCUUUUGAGCUGAGUCAGUUCUAUGAUCUGGUUCAGCACUGAGCUCUGCAGACUUCUGCUUCUGUAGGUGAAUGGUGACCAAGGCUGGCAAUUUUUUACCUCUGUUGUAAAUAUUUUCAGUUCUGUUCUGUCUUACUUCUCUUCUAUCCUGCCAUUUUUUUUACUCUGUGCAAAACCAACUUAACUGGCUAACCUAGUGGAAAACUGCUCUUCUUUUGAGAAAUUAGAUUUCUGUGGAACAAACUGAAUCAACUCAGCAAGGGACCCUCAGCAAUGCCGGUUUGAGGGAGGAGCUGGAUUGUACAGGUGGGGUAGGUAAAAAUGGGAGAUAGGACUUCUCUUUCCUCAACACAGCUAACUCUGUUUACUUCACUUGCAUCAGUUGUGAAGGUGGUCUUCCACUCCUUAAUCUGGCUGUGUCGCCUUCUUUGUGCAACUAUUGCUUUGUCAGGCCAGGUGUCCUCCUGGCGGUAUUUACUAGGUCGUCCUCAUGGACAAGCAAGGACCCUGCCUCUGCUUAGUAAUAAGCAGUAAAAAAAAACAUAGUGAAGGAAGGGAAGGAUUUGCCUAUUACAGGAAAUUUUUCUGAGGAGAGGAUAAGUCAAGACAUAUUUUUCCAUUUUGUAUGUAAAGAUCUUUGAGUGAUGUAGUAGUAGGUAAAUAUGAAGGCUAUGCUACAUUUGUACUUAGCAAAGAGCUGAACAUCUGAGAACUUGCAUGGUAGGUAACUAGAAGAGCUGAAUGUUAGAUUUCUGCAGUGUUAAAUUUGGAAAGUGGAAAAGGUGAACACUGUUACACAUUUACAGGCACGUAAGGUCACUUUAUGAAUGUAUUAGUUUUUUAAUAGUCAAAACAUCUAAUGUUUAGUUUUUCUAACCUAUUGUCUUGACUAUAGUAUGCCUGACAGAACUAAUUUGAAGACUAUAUAUGUAUAAUUAAUAUGCAUACACACACAAACAUUUAUUAUAGUGUAUAUCAGUAAUUUUUAAAACAAGAAAAGUGACACAUUUUUGCUGGGUUUGGUUUUCCCUUUUGCUCGAGGGCUUUCUUUGGCACCAUUCAAUCUGUCAUCUUACUUGCACUCAGUAUAGUUUUUCUAAGCAUAUCUCUAGCUCAGUCUAGCUAUUAUGCUAACUUUGAGGCUGCUGGCCUGCUAUGUACUAAAUUGCAGAUGAUGUGCUACUGACUUAUUUUUCUUCUGUUGGACAUCUGUCUGUCUACCAACUACUUAAAACAUCUGCAUGCAAGAUCAUCAUGUGAUUUUGUUUUGGCCCUGCAUACCUUCUUGCUGAUGAGAACAGAGUCACUACCUUUCUUUUGAGUGAACUGUUACCCAUGUGACUGAUGGAGGUAACUGGAACACCCAGUAUAAGGCAUCAGCUGUUUGGACAAGUCAGGCUUUGAGAUUCUUGAUAUUUCCUUAAAAUGGGGAAGGGAUUGGGUUGAAGAUGAGGAUAGUUAAUUGUAUAAUUGUGGUCAGUGGACCAUGUGUAAAUUAAAUUUAAGUCUUUAACUACAACUCAGAAGCUUGCUGGUCCAUGCAUUUGUCUAAUAUUGUAUGUUUUCAUGGUCUCCAUGGCUACUAAUUAUGUACAGACCAUGGUUUGGGUAUUGAAACGCCGUAUGCAGAGAUAAAUUGCAAAUGUAAGCAACAUCUUCGGUAUUAAGGUAUAUCUAUAGUGGAAGUGUGAUUUUUGAAAUAGCAGAAAAUACUGAAAUCCUGUAGUCACUAUAAAAAUCAUAACAUAAAAGAACAGUCUGGCUAGAAAAAUGUUAAGAAUUCAUAAUAAAACCACAAUUUUACAGGAAGUGUGAGAAAAAGAAACUAUAGAAGGAAUUAAUAACCACGUUAUGUAAAAUCAAAACAGUAUCAUAAGGGAUAGCUUCUAGCAAAGAAUGUAAAGACCAUGGUUAUACAAAUGUGGUGUAAAGGCUGUUAAUGGACAGCAGACAAGCUCAACGGAGAAAAGAUUUGUGUGCUUAAGGAUUAUGCAUUUGUAGGUAGGUGCAAGCAUCCUGUUCACUAGAAAAGCUUAACCAGAACAAAAUUAGGAUAUUAUUGCUCUAUUCUUCCCAUAAAAACAAACUAAAUAUUCUAGAUGUUUGUAAUCCCAGUAGCCUCUCCUUAAAAAUCCCUCACUGAGCCUCAUUCAAAGCUGACAAAUAUUGAGUCUUUUAGCAAUUCUUUAUGAGUUAGUUUUUUACUCCAUUGUGUUAAAGGUGAAAUUAAUCCCACCUAGAGCUCUCAUCUGUCCAUGAGCUCUCAUUUAUCCCAGCAAAAUUAUUCCUAUAUACGGUGAACAGAAUGUGAACUAGUCCAGAUGAUAGUAUUUUGCCAAGCCAACUUUCAGUGAAUUUCUUUCCGUUUACUAUGAGUAAAUGCUUGUGCCCACACAGUAGAGAAGGGAACAAGUUGCUGCCAGUGUAAAGAAAGUGGGAAUUUUUUUCUUUUGCUAAUAAUGCAUGAGAAAAACGGAUCUUUUGCCAAGAUAUUAGUAGCCCAUGUAUUUGGGAAGUAUACUGUUGCCAGGCCCUCAAAACUUGUAUUUUUACUGUAGUGCACUUUUAUCAAAAUCAGAAGUUACAUUAUUUGAGAAGAUUGCAUGGAUACAAUUACACUUGGUAGCCUUGUGCACCACCCAUUGACCAUUGAUUUCAAUUUCAGAGGCAGUGACCUGGGGCUACGUAUAGUGCUCCAAAACUCAAUUACCAGUCAUUCACUUAAUCAUGCUCACAGAAGCAUAUGCUGUUUGUGUGUCUGUAAGAUAUUUCUCUCUUUUUUGGAUACAAAAUGAUCGGCCUCCUGGUUUUGAAGUAAUUGUGCUACUUCUGGUGAUGUCUGGUUGAUCUGUGAAUCUGCUCCUGUUUUACUUAUGUCUCAUCUUCCUUCAGGAGACCAUUUGAUUCUGUUUAUUUUAAUUUUCUUUAUUAACCUGUAUAGAAUUACUGGAUAUUUAUUGAAGUUUCAGAAUUUAAUUAUAGCUCCUAUUACAACUGAUUAAAAAAAAAAAAAGUUUUGAAAAAAGGUGAUGAGUGGCAAAGUACUCCCAAGAGUUUCAGCCGUUCCUUUUCCCCCUUAAUCUCACCAUGGAUCAAGAUGCUUGAGCAUACUGCUUUCUUAAUGACAGCAAGAAAAUAAAGCAUUAAAAACCUUAGCUCUUCUUUAAAAACAAUAGAAGAUAAAGACGUGAGGCCAACAGAUUCCUUUGCUGUAAUUUUCUUCCAUGUCUGACUUUUCAUCUUUAUAUUUGGUGUAGAUUGUACUGGCUAAAUACUGGAAAUGGCUUUUUAGUGCUUUUCUGGUAUUUUUCAUUGAAAAGACUUUUCAGUUACUGUUAUUUCUGUUCUUGUGCAGGUUUUAUUCUUUUGUGAAUUGACAAAGGCAUACUUCCUUUGGGACUGACUGUAAUAUCUUUCAUUGCCUGUAACAUGACAGGUUAUACUGAAAUCUUUCUCAGCAGUGUUGUUUUCUUGUUUAUUUUUUUUUUCUUCGGAUGUAUGUGUCUUUAUAGAACUUGUUGAUCAAAUACAUCAUAUAUCUCAUUGAGAUUAUUUUUGGUGUUAGAUGAAAAAGUCAACCUCUUGAAUGCCAUUAGAUUGAGUAUUUUCUUUCAGAAUUUCUACUAAAUGUGAAGUGCUUCUUUUCUUGGAACUUUUUUAUUUGUACCUGCUUUGAAUUGACAUCUUCUGGAAUCUCAGGAUAUCAUCAGGUUAUCAGGUCAACAGUUGCAAUUACCUUUUUCUCAUUUCUUUCUUACUUUAUUUUUUUUUCUUAAAUCUGGCAGAUGACAGGGCAUUUCUUCCGCUUUGCCUCACAUUCCUGAAUGACUUCAUAGGCAACUCCAUGAAAGGUUUUUUCCCAUAGUCCAUCUUUCUUGUAUUAGCAUAGCUAUGAGAAGAAUGUGUUUUAAUUGCUUGUAAAUAUUACCACUUUUGACCAUGGUUGUUUCUUUCAUUUUGCAGCCAGUGAUCUUUCUAAUAGUCUGUUGUGCAGGAGGAUAUAUCUGGAGAAUGAACUGCUUUAGUGCAGUAAAAAGGAAGUAAUUGAAAGAAAUCACUAAAGGAUAUUGUGGUUGGUGCAGCAGCUGAGCCCCCACCCAGAGGCUUACUCACUGCCCCCAGGCAGGAUGAGGGACAGAAUUAGAAAAGCAAAAGUGUGGAAACUCAUCAGCUGAGACAAGGGCAGUUUAAUAAGUGAGGGAAAGGUGUGUGCCUUAAUGAGAUCAAGCUAGACAAUACCCACUGCUCUCAAUUUACCAGGCCAGUCAUCUCCUUGUAGAAAGUAGAUUUUGUUAGGCUGGUCUCUGUGUUCUGCUGCAUUUUUUUAUACCUGUUAGCCAGACAAGUAGAAAAGUCCAAUUUUCCUUUGUAUGUGACCUUCUACCAGACAAAAAGUACCAAUAAGAAAUUGUAUAGCUUGUUCUGCAAAUUUAUCUGCCCCCUUUGUUCAGGAAUGCAAUUUGUAGAUCAUUGCAAGGAGCCAAUACCCACUGUACGGCUUUGCCAUCUGGUACAGAUCCUGUAGGAUGAAGGAAGACUUUUAUGAACAUAUUUUGUCAGUUUACAUUGUUGGUUAAUGGUUUGUCUACAAUUGGUGAGUAGCAUUUUUACUUCUCUCCUGUGUUAGCUUUUUGUAGCUGCUGAAAAAGCUUAGGUGAUUCAUCUCCUUUUCUUGUCCCUUCAAUGGAAUGGAAAUUCAGCUUCCAUACUUUCAAGGAGUUUCCUUCAUAAGGAAAAUAAAAAGUAUACAUUCUAACUGUAAGUUCCAUUUGAGUCAAUAUAGUAUAUUUGCCCCGUUCCCCUGGGCUGUUACACAACUAUCUAAUGUCAAUUACUGUGCAUUGAUGAUGCAUCUUAAGAUACAAACUGUUUCUUUAAAUUUUUGUAUGUGAAUGUAAUUGAAGAAAAUCCUUUUUUUGGGUGCCAAAAUGAGAUCAUUUGAGUAAGGAUGCGAUUUAAAGCUGUUUAAAGCUCACAGUGCUUCACAGCUUGACACAGUUCUGUGAUUUAUUCUAUAUUAGAUGUAAUUUCAGAUACUAGGUUGUAACUGAUAACAUUAUUCACUGUGCAUGAAGUUUUUUCUGCCAAAAUACAUUACUUUUUAUUUAUACAUUAUGCAGAUUUCUUUUAUUUAUGUAAGUACUUUGCAAAUGCUCAGGUAAAAAGGUAGUGAACUAGAUAGAAACUUAUAUGCUACAUAAGGCUGCAUACUUAAGAGUUUAUAAGUCUCUGAGGACAAGAGCCAACACCCAACUUACAUGCAAGUCCUGAAAUAAACUUGAAUUCUUCUAUUAGCUUGGAUUCACCCAUAAUUAACUUUAGCUACUCUAGCCUGACUUUUAAAAUAUAGCUUACUAGGUAAAAAACACUUGCUGGUUAUUUAAGAAUUUCAAGAGAACUAGUAUAAUGUAAUACAUGAGUUAAGACAUCCUAGAAGACACAGUCAAUUUGAGUAUUAAAUGAGAUGCCAUUUAUUAAAUUUGUAUAUAACAGCCUCUGCAUCAAGGGCCUACAUACCACUUAUUUAUUUAUUAUUUUAUUUAUUUAUUAAACAAAAUUUAGCAGUUGAGAGAUGCUCUUAGAACACACAUGAUACAUUUAUUUCAGUUUUUCGCUUUUGAAAGAGAGUGUUUUUUUCAGGAUUUUUCAGUGCUUGAAUAUGGUUUCUUACUAAGCCUUUCCACAUCAGGAAACCAGGAUCAAAUGUCUUGAAAGUGUUGCGUGAACACAGCUUUGUUCUUGAACUUACUCUUUAUAGUUCCUUGUUUUUUUAACAGAAUACUUUUGUAUAGCAUUUGUUAGCUGAACAGCUAAAAUUCUGCUCAGACAGUUUGUCUACUCUGUUUUAAAGGAAUGCCCAUAUGAACUCACUAGUCUGUUCAAAUUAGGUAAUUCAGAGAAGUAUAAUCUGUAUAUUAGAAUUACAUAAUGUAUAUUUUUGUGGUAUACUUUGCUCUAAGAGAGGGUUUGGAUUUUCCCUCAAUGUCUGUCAUUAACAAUAUCAAAGCUUUACCUUUCUGGAUGAGGCUUAAAGUGCAGUCAUUAAAGUAAAGGGAAGACAUGAUAUUUAAAAAGAGUAUUUUGAAAGUAACAAUUAUCUAUUUCUUUGAUAAUUAAGGCUUGCAAACCUCUGAAUUUACUGAGGCACUACUAGUCUACUGGAAAUGACAUACAUGGAUACAUGUUGCAUUCCUCUUACAUCUGAGUAGUUACUUCUGACUGCAUCCAUUCUUUCUCCAGGGCUAAGAAUUUGAGAUGGGAGGUUGAAGAAGCUCCAGUAGUGUUAACUUAAUGUGGUACUCAAAAGUAUAUAACAGUUUCUAAAAAAAUGAACAAACAUUUCACAGUUAAUUUAUCAUAUUGAUCAACCUAUGUGAACAUUACCUUUCUGGUGUGUCUUCAAGGCUAGGCUGAAGAUUUUUGAAUGAAGACAAACAAAAAAAUAGUACAUGAUCCAAAAGAUGCAAGUUGAAAAAAAAAUAAAAAAAAAAAAGGAAGAAAAGCUGCAGUUGACACAAGAAGGUGGUUAAGCGUUAACAUAUAGUGUGAUGAUGGAUGUCAGGGGCAGAGGAGGGUGUUAAGUCAUUGUUUUAGACUUGUGAGGUGGAUUUACUAGAGUUUGUGUGUUUCUGAGCAGAAAAUAUUGUGUUGAUCCAGUAAUUUGGGGGUAUUUUUAUUGCUCCAGGGAAUGCUGUAUUAAAAGUAGAAGCAGCUUUAAAUAUUCUUUAAAAUGGAAUGCAUUGCCUCUCUCUGUGGAGCAUGCUAUUAGGAGCUAUAUCCCUAGCUACACACUUGUGAAAUUAAAAAAGCUUCAUGGCUGGAAAGGUGCCCAAAUUCUGAGAAAUCCUGUCUUUCUGAAGAGAGAAAUAAAUAGUCAAUCAAAAAUAGGUAUCUGUAAUGCUUUGUAGGCUAGAUCCAAAGAGAGCCAUAGAUGUGGUGAUAUUUCGGUAUCUUAAACUUCAGUAGUUUGGACCAUGCAGUGGAAGGGAAGAGAACAGGGUUCAGGUAUUUGCAUUUUGAACUAUUGCUGAAUUUUCUUGGCCUGUUAAAGGGCAAGUAACAAACCAGAAAUAGUCCCUGGAGCAGGGACUAGAAUCUAGGUCUUCUCUCCCAGCUGAGCACCCCGGUUAUUACCAGGCUACAGUGUGAUCCUUGUUAAUUGUCCAGAUGCCAUAGCAUUUUAAUUUUUAGCUGGGUAGUUACCUAGCUUUAGCAGACUAGAAGCUUGUUACUAUCCAGCCUUUUAGAUUCCUAAUUAAAGUACUCUUCUGGGAAAUAAAUGCAUGGUUUUAAAUCCCCAUAUGCUAACAGGGAAUUAAAGCCAAAUUCCUUGCCUCUGUGGUACUCGCUGUAAUCUGGUAUGUAUCUCCUCUUCUGGAUUGGUAGUCCCAAGCCAUUUGUGUACCUUGCAGUGCUGUUAUAUAGCCGUAUACAAACCGUAUAUAAACCGUCCUUUCACUGGGGAGUGUUUGCUGCCUCAGGUGUAAUUUCUGUGUUACCUUGCACAUGACCCUCCUAACGUGUCUGGAUGGAGCUUCAGCCUUCUAUAAAGUUGCCACCAGAAAAAUUAACUGUAUUUAUCAUUUCUGUUUCUAGGGAAAUCCUGUGGUGUUUGUUGGAUGACUUUGUAUAAGACUUGAGGGCCUGAAUUUUGCUUAUAUGCAAAAAUACUUCUAUUACAUGCUGCCAAGAAUUCAGAAGCCAUGCAGAUGAUGAGAAAACAUGAUGCUUAUCAAGUAUUUUAAAAUGGUAAAAGCAGAAGCACUGGUUUUUGUUGCCAUUUAAAUAAAAAUAUCUUAACAGUUAGAAAGUUCUGGGGUCACCCAGCCUGGAUGCUGUAUUAAUGCACUUGAAGGAAUAAAGCUGCUGGACAACCAGAUUUCCUUUCAGUUGUUUAAGUAAAAUAAGAACAAUUAUUUUUUUUAAGAAAAUCAAAAUAACUAACAGCCUGUUUUACUUAAGAAGGUUUUUCUGUCAUGGCUUCUCUGAUGUAGUCUUCUUCAAUGUCUUUUCAAAACAAAAAUUAUUUGGAUAUACUUUAAGAUUGUAGCAAGUAGGAAAAAAGUUUUGGAGCACUCUCCCCAGCAGUCUUCCCCACAACCUCAUUGACAUGCCAUAUGAUAAAAAAAAUAUUAAAAAUUAUUAAAAAAAAAAAAGAAAAAAACAUUUGAAAUCAGUUCUCCUCCCCUUAGUUUGUUGCCUUCCUAGAUAAAUAAUUCUAAGUAGUUCACUGCAUUUUUAAAUUAUGUACACUUAGUAUUUUUACAAUUAUAAUUUUCCAUCUUAAUAUUUUGGUAGCGGUUGUUCUAUGCAAAGUGAUUGGUGUCAAGUUUUUUUUGUUUUGUGUUUUGGUGGGGUUUUUUUGUUGUUGUUUGGUUGGGGUUUUUUUGUUUUGUUAUGUUGGGGUUUUUUUGUUGGUGGUGGUAUUAUGUUUGUUUCUUCCUGAAAAACAAAAAAGUGCUGAUGUGACCAUGUCCAUAUCUUAGCUAGCGGGUGCCUUUAGAAUAAGAUGGUACUGCAUCAUAAUUUCCUGAUGAGUUACAGCAUCAUGAUGGCAUGUGCUCCCACUCAGAAUCUAUUUUAAGAAAGGACAGAAGCACUUUCUUAUAAGUAAUCUUGUACUCAAAAAUACUGGGUUGGAGUGAAGAAAGUCUACAAAGUAAUGAUGUUCUUUUUGGAGAUCAAAAGAGAAUUAAUGGAAAAGUAAUUAUUUAAUCUGUAUAGUUAAAAAAAAAAACUUACCAGAAAAAAGCUUCAGCAGCAUAAUCUCUCUUUUUUGUAUUAGUCUGUACAUCUGUCCCUAUAACAGAUUCAUAUAGCAGAAGAAAUAUUAAAGACUUACUCAAAGAAGCUUAUGGCCCUCUUAAUUAGGCAAGAGCUUUCAGAGACUGUUUAAUGUUUAACGUUGUAGCAGCCCUUAGAAAUUGCACCAUGUGUUUUGGAAAUUUGUUAUCAAGUUUUCUGUGUAACAGAGCAUCUGAUCUCUUUGCUAAAUUGUGCCUAUUUUGACACUGGUUUCAGUUUGUCAAGAAAAUGUAGUUCAUUUGAGCAAAAUGAUUUUAAGGAGCAAGUCUUAAGAGGCAAACACUUCAGUAUUCUGUAAAUACUGACCCACUCUUGGACAACUCUGUGUUUUCCCACAAUAUAAGGGUCCUGAAAGUGUUUGAGGAUACUGUGUAGAAUUAAUGUUCAUUAAAUUGACCUUGAUGAGGUGAGCUCAGGUUUUUAUACACCUGUUAGUUCAGAUUAGCUGUAUUUUAACCCAAGAUCACUGUCACUCAGCUACAUACACUGUAAACUGUUACAGCCUUAUUUUGCAUUUAGGAAACAGGGCAGCUGAGUACUAUAUAAUACUACUAUAUAACAGUACCACUAUACAGAUCAGUACUAUUACAAGAAGAAAAACGAGUACAAACCUAAAUAUUUCAAGUUGUGAGCCAUACCAUUUUCUGGUGGACUAGAAUAUUUUUAUAUUCUUUCUAUGCUGUUUUCCUAUGAGCUUCUCAUUAUCUGAAUACAGCUAAAUCAAAUGUGCUAUUAACACACCACUAUUUCUUGAAUGGCACGUGGGAAUAAUCAAAAUUUGAAAAAUGGAGCACAGAAGGGACUGACUUCACCUAGCUUGCUUAUUUUUACAUUAACAAAAUGUAGGUAAGAAAUCUUUAGGUCUCUGCAGUCUUCACUUACAAAAUUAACACUCUGUAUUUAAUGAAUGACUGCAGUGAAUAUGUGUGUAGCCAGAAUUGCAUGAUUAAAUAAUUUGCUAUGGUAAGUUUAAAAGGCUAUCACCCCAGAGUAUCAGAGGCUUCCUGUAAAACAAAAUAACUGAUUUUGAGAAACACAGAAACUUCCAAAAGAAAUUUGACUUAUAAAGCAAUGUUACAUUUUUAAGGUUUAAUUAGAUGGGAUCUGCUGUGAGUAAAAAAGAGCUCUUUUUUUGGAAGUAGGUAUACCAGUUUUGCAAAGCAUUCUUUUCUAUACCUGUAAUAAAAUCAUCUCUCUGUACUGGAAUUCGACAUUUUAUAGGGAAUAAAUAUUUUUAUGGCAAUCUCCUUCUUAGCAGCAGGCUUUACAUGUUAAGAAUAAUUCUGGUGGAGUUAGUGUACUGAUUCAUAUCCAAUCAAGAAAUUGAAAAUUUCUCAGAGGAUGCAGUUUCUCCCAGGUCUCCAAACAGUAUGGUGUUUUGGUCAUGCUUAUUUUUGUGACCAGGUAGCCUGCAGGCUAAUUGUUUGAUUUGUGUUUAAAGGUGCAAUGUACACAGAAUAUUCACUUCAUAGAUUCAGAGGAAAAAAACAAACCAAGCCCCAACACUACACCAAAAACAUGAAGAGGAACGUUUCCUUCAUGACUGACAGAGCAUUCAUGUGAGCAAAACACAAAUGAAAGCAUAUUGGAGAUACCAUUUUUGAAACACUGUAACACUCUUGUGUUUCCUAUGGAAGAGGCUUUUGCAAAUGGGAACUGUUACCUUAUUUUUGAGCACUUUAAUUAUUUUCAAUAAAAUUUGAUAGACGAAUAGCAAUAUCAAAAAUUUUAGGCAUCUAUAGGUGCCUAGAAUAUCCAGCAAGGAAAGGUAGAAGGACCAUCCAGCAAGGAAAAGACUUCUGUGUGAGUUCAUCACUUCUCAGACAAAUGGCACUUCAUUCAUUCCGUCACCUAUGGAAAUUUGGUUUACUGAAGGAACUGAACUGAAUGUAGAAACACAGAGGAUUCAAAUAUGUAUUUACUUGCUUUAUGUUGGGACAUCAUUUAAGCCAUAUAAAUAAUUUUUUAUAAUUUACUAGUAAACAGUGACCAGUACAAAAUGUUUCAAACUUAUUUUCAGUUCACAUCCAGAAAAAAAGAUUUUUCUGAAGUGCAGUAAAUUGGUGGAGGAUGUGUGUGCUUUCGGUAUGUUAUAUUGUUUUUUGGUCUGCUUUCUCACAGUAAUGGCUUGCCUGUUUCAGUCCUGCUAAGCUCUUGAUUGCUGUGACACAUUCUGUUAAUCAUUAUUUUAGGAUAGGAUGUUGAGUUGCAGGACUAUGGUGUCGAAAGAUAUGUGACCGAAACGGAAUUCAUCUCAGCUUGCAGUAUAAAAUGAGAAAGAACAAUGGGUUGUAAAUGAGAAGACAUUGCACCAUGAAGGAAGAGGCAAGGAGGUCUCUGCACAAGUGAAAAUUAAAUUUAAAAAAGAAAGGUUCUUAUUAAAAAUUUCAUUGGGUACUCUAGCACAAGACAGCUGAAAGUAAGCAGCGGAACUUUUUUUUCCUCCAAAACAAAAUGUCGGGUUUGAUCUAUGAUUGUGCCAUAAAGGAUUAUAAAACAUGCUCUGGGUGUACAGAGCUCUUUUUAAAAUUUUUUUUUUUAAAUUUUUUUUUAAUUUUACAGAAACUUAAUGAGCAAGUCCAGGACUAUACUCUGUGUGUUCUAGCUCAUUUCUCCUUGCACAGUUUGUUAUAGACAUGUUUUUCCUGAAGUUGCCAAAAUAUGAAACUGCUGAAAUUUUUUUGCUCCCAACAUGUUGCACUUUAAAUAGUGACUCAAGAUUUGUAUGACUUUCUUAAUAUACUGUUCUUGUUUUUAUGGAAAACAUUUUUUUCUAUGGAAAACAAUUUAUUUUUGUAAAUAACACUCAACUUUUAUUUUCCAUGCAAUGUCCAUGGUCAAAGGUAAAGACUGAGUGGCAGCUGGCAGAUAUCAAAGAACUGCUUAGUAUGCUAUUCAUAUUGUCAUAUUCUCUGUAGAAGAUAAUUCUAAAAAAACCCUCUGUGUUCUAAAAAGUGUUACAGAAGUUCAUAGCAUUAAAUGAGUGAUAAUGUUUUUAAUUUAUUCAGAUAUACCAACAUUAGGCUUUUAUGUUGCAUUUCCUCUUUCUUUAUUAUAAUACCUUCUUCCAGUCACUCCCAUCCUCACAUCCAUUAUUCUCUCCCUAACCCAGACUACGCAAUAAUGUCCCAUUUCGCUUGCAUUCUUUCUGUUCAAUUACUCUUGGAGGAAACGUGCAGAAAAAUCAGUUGUAAAAAGAAACUGGAUUAUUCCCAUGCAGUCUGAGUGCAGAAUUGGUGCAGAAUGCCAAGAUCAAAAUUAUAGAUGCUAAAGCAAGUGUUUCUAUGAAGAAGUAGUUUGACGGACUGUAGAAAGAGAAAUAACAUUUUACUUACAGUCUGCUAAUUACAGAAGGUGUACUCUGUGAUUUUUAGUGAAGUUCAGCUUGCAUAAAAGGGAGAAAAAUCAAAAAAAUCAGACUGAGCAUAUAUAAAUUGAGGCAGCUAGCUAAAGGAAAGUCAGAAAGAGCAGCUGAAUGGUUUGUGAUGCUGUGCAAUCCAUUUAUAGUCAUUAUAUGAGACUCAGAACUGGAAUGGGGGCUGCAAAAGGAAAGGCUUUAGUUUGCUGACCUCUAGCUUCUUCAAAUGGUGCAAUGUAUUAAUCUUGGUUCUAUCUAGAUCAGGAGGCCGUUACUGUGCCCUGCAUCUCCCCUGUAGCCUGUGUACCUGCAUCUCCAUUCUGUGAAAACCAAGCUGUGAAGGUGUGAAGGAAGCGCUCCUGCUUCCCCCAGCAAGGAACAGGCACGUAGCCAUCGUAAGCGCUACUCGGCAAGAACGGCAGAGUACUCUCCUCUGUUUCCCCGGGCUUCGGUGCAGUAUCAGAAGACCAAAAAAUUAAAGGUGACAUGUUGAAACUGCAGGAGAAAGGAAGUUUUUACUAAGAAAAUGAUGUAAUUUAGAGGGGGGAAAUAGAUCAGAGAGGCUGUCAAGUUAAAUGCAAAAGUAAGAAGGCAAGCCCAAAAAAGACUUUUGAGAAUCAACUUGCUAAAGGCAUAACACCUAAUAAUAACUAAUGUUCAUGGUAUCAGGGAGCUGAAAGUUUAUCAGUGGUGAUGGGGUCAGUAGCUGAUCAAGAUGUAAAAAUAACAGUUGAAGAAAAUAAAACCAUCAUAUAAAAGUUAAGUAUGUUUGGAGAGUUUUUUUAUUUUUUUUUAACAUGAUGCUAUUUCACCUUGAAGAUUUUUAGCAAGGGUUACUUAAGCUGGGGUAACAGAGCUCUGAAAGGAAGUGUUUGGUUGCUUUUUUAAGGGAAUAUUUAGGGUAAUUAUAGCAACUUCAGACCAAGAAGUCUGGAUUCUGCAUUGAUCACACUUCAGAAGCUAUAAAAGAGACUACUACGUUUUCAGCUUAUCUGCUAGUGUAUUGGGGAAGGAUUGAUACAGAUUUUCCUGAGGUUAAUUCACUCAGUCUGCCAGAGGGUUUUAAAAAUAUCUCAUGAUGCCUUCAAUAUGAGGCAUAUGAUAUAAAUUUGCAUUUUCAAAAUGCUUCAAAUGGCUCUUAAAGAAAUUAAAGUGGCCUGCAAUAAGAAGCAAAGUCCUUCUACUUAAUAAUCAGUUGGUAAUUAAAAAAGUGUAUGAAUAAAUUGUCAGACUUCUCAGUAGAGGCAUUUACAAACAGAAUCAUGUAGGAAUCAGCUCUGCAGGCUAUGAUGGUUAACAUAAGAUAAUACAAAACAGCUUCUGUACUAUUUAUUGCUUCUCAUACAUCAAGUUGCAGGAGGCAUAAAUGAAAUUAUAGGUUAGUAGUUUUAAUUAUACAUAUCAUUACAAUGUCUUUGGAGUUAACCUAUACUUGGAUAAAAUUUGUACUUCUAGUCUUUAUAGUUAUAGUAUGUAGUAGUGAUCAAUUAAUUUUUUACAGUUGCUGUAAAAAGAUUUUACUUGCCAUUUUUAGAAUCAAGGUAGCAUAUGCUAUUUAUAUUUUUACAUAAUUUUACAGAAAUGAGCACAUAGAUUUGCUCAAGUAUGGAAAAAAAUAAUUUGGCAAAUGGCAAAUAUUUAGGGAUUCUACUGAUUUCUUUGAGAUUUUGAAAACACUUUCUUACUCUGUAAAAUACAUUUGAUACUGAUUUCCACUAAGACUGAGAUUUUCCCAUUGUUAUUAAUGAUACUGAAAGCUACAUGGCCUUACUAGUGAUCUUAGUUUUAAGAUCAGGGUCAUUAAUUUGGGGUUAGGGAGGAAUUGUCUAAUGGGUUAGGUUGAAAACAGUUGUACUUCUUUAGUCUUUAAUUGUGAAUGAAGUUCUGUUUCCUCAGAUUGUCUGAAUCACUGGAUGUAUUUCUCUGUAAUUUGGCUGGAUACUUGCUGCCAAAGACAGAAAUAGAAUGCAAGGACUUGGGAGGAAUUGAAUAGUGAAUGUUAAUAUGUUACUUUCUAAGUUCCUUGCAGGAGAAUCUUCUAAUAAGCACCAACUGUCACACUGAAAUUAAUAGGAAUGCAAAACAUCACACUCUUUAUUCAGUCUUCAUGUAAUACAAGCUUUUUUGCUUAAUUGUCUUUGUCUUGUCUGUUUUUUAGACUACAAAUCCUAAUCUCACUUGGGACCACCUACUGCUAUUGCAAUGCAAGUCAUAUUUAAAAUUAUUAGGAAGUACUCUCAGUGUCUAAUUUGUUUUACAUAUGCUUAAAUACUGUUGUAAGUAUAUUUACACUAGAAAAAGUACUGCUUAAAUGUUCUAAAUUUAGGGGUGGAGGAGCUUUGUGAAGACUUCUUACUUACACAUAUUUAGCAUUCUGUUGUGAAUUUUCCCAUUAACUUAAAUUAAACGUUGGUGCUCUCAGUGGAAAUGAAUAUGUAAGUCUUCACAAGGUUGUGUUUUAAGUGCUGAGGGAACAAGUGAAUACAGUUGGAAGAGUGCAAAGUAACAGCAUGUGUUUGCCUGUGUGACUGUCAGUGGUCAGAGCAUGAAGUGAUCUGCAUUGCAGGAUUGCACAGCAAACAGACAGCAUAUUUGCAAAUGGUAAAUAAAGUUUCAUUUAAGAUUAGCACAGCCAUACAUCUCCUGAAUUCAGUGCAAAUAACAAAGGUGUAAUAUUAUCUGCAAAUGACUUACACUAGGAUUUUGUUCCUGUUUCUAAAGCCACUGAGAAUUAGAUAAAAGCCUGAAAAUACUUCAGUAACUAUUUGUAAACUCUUUUGUCUUAUUUACUUAGUACCCUGAUUUCUCAUACAGUGUUGCACUGUUGUCAAGCUGUGCUGCUUACUUAUGAUUGGUAUUAAUAGCAUUUACAUUCAUUAAUAUUUAUGAGUUGAAAGUAUAGAUGAGUUUUUAGAAACAGUGUAAUGUAUUAGGGUCAAAAAUCAGGGGUAAAAACCAGAAAGUAUUUUGGGCUGCAGAACAGCUAGAGAAAUUGAACCUGGGAACUGUGUUUCACAAAUGAAAGAUUUGAUUUGAAUAUAAAAUUAUUUUCAAUAAAAGUGGAGAAAAAGGUGCAGCCAGUGUGAGAGUGUAGUGCGACAAUGAUGGAUGCCAGAAGUAUCACCUGUGUCUCCCACACACUCCUUUGCUGUUAGAGAUGAAGGCAGAAUCUGUGCCGUAGCUCACCAAGGUGUGGAGUGCUGAUGAGGCAUUUGGCCCGGCUGGAUCUGGGGCCAGGCCUGUGGUGUCGGCUGGUGUGUGCACAGUGCAUCUUCAGCAAUCCCAGCCCCUUCCAGCUUAUGGGAUCUGAAAUACCUGUCAAGAAAUAAUAACCUGAACUACUGAAUUUGUUUCAGCUCUGCAUUUCAGAACUCUAGGGUAGACCUUGGCUUAUUUAGUCCAUCUGUAGGCUUAUUCUUUGAUAGGUUUAUGCGGGAAAAUGCAGAUCUUGACCAGAACUGGGUUGCCCAGCACAUUGGCCAUCUAAAUACUGGCUUCUUGCCUUCUGCUGUAGACUUGGCCCUAGUUUUGGCAAGGAGGUAAAAGAGUUCAGCUUUAUUUUCAUCAAGUAGUAGAAAUUCUUGCCAGUUUAGUAAUAGAUGAAGGCUUGGCAGUAUUCUUGAUGCCCAUUCCCCUGCUUCCAAUCUUGGCCUUGAGAUUUUGGCAAUACAAGUUUCCUGUGCUGUGUAUAACCAUCAUUCUACAACAGUUUUGAUCUCUAGGCAUGGGAAAUAAAAAUUUAUGGUAGAUAGCAAUUAUUCAAUGGGCAUCAGAUUAAAGUAUUUUCAAAAUAAGCAUUUUAUAAAAAAAACCCUCCAGUGUUUUUUAGUUGAACAUUGCUCCCAAGAAUCCCAUUAAUUCAGCCUGCUUGUCAAGGAAUGCUUUUCCCUUCAGUAAUAAUGAAGUUGGUGUGGUUCUUACUUUACAAGAAGUUUUGCUGUCCUAAAAUUGGCAGGCUGUAGGCAAUUCUGUGAAAGAGAGCUGAUGCUGUUCAAGAAGAAUUGCAGCUUGCAGUUCUAUGCAAGUGACCGACUAAACAAAUAAAGUUCAUUUUAAAACAAAA
This is a long non-coding RNA of Parus major (Great Tit), 18411 nucleotides long. RefSeq lists it as uncharacterized. The record is from RefSeq and is a predicted model, not a curated record. The transcript is spliced from 2 exons. NCBI's taxonomy places the organism in Eukaryota, Metazoa, Chordata, Aves, Passeriformes, Paridae.